Molecule: transfer RNA, 84 nt
Filed under: Candidatus Eiseniibacteriota bacterium
Lineage: Bacteria; Candidatus Eiseniibacteriota
Description: tRNA-Leu
Rfam family: tRNA
About the family: Transfer RNA (tRNA) molecules are approximately 80 nucleotides in length. Their secondary structure includes four short double-helical elements and three loops (D, anti-codon, and T loops).
Source: RNAcentral
GCGGAAGUGGCGGAAUUGGCAGACGCGCUGGGUUCAGGGUCCAGUGGGGGCAACUCCGUGGGGGUUCAAGUCCCCCCUUCCGCA